CUUCCCCAUUUCCCCGUUUCCCCUCUUGUGCCCGACUACCCUCCUCCAUUUUUUUCUCAACCUUCAACUCCGGCACCGAUCCACCUCUAGUCCGACACCACCGAUCAACCUCCGGUCCUCCACGGCUCCAGCCAUUUCCCCCAUUUCCCGUUUCCCUUCUUCCACAAAUCCCUAAUCCCUUGCCCGACUGCCCUCCUUCCUUUUUUUCUCAACCUUCACCUCCGGCACCAAUCCACCUCCGGUCCGGAACCGAUCCACCUCCGGUCCUCCACGGCUCCACCCAUUUCCAGAAUUAGAGAUCCGGUUUAUCUGAAACUCCAACCAAGGUUUCACCAGCAACACCAAGAGUGGCUACUAAACUAGGCAGGGCACUGGUCAAAACAGAGCCGGAUUCACCCUCUCCCAUGCAAGGUACUCGCCAUUAGGUUGAUCGAUCCCCGCGAUUGUCUCUUAACUCAAAGUUGACCAUUGAUCGGAGAUCACUAAAGGCUGCUUUGGCGUCUGAAAAAUCGUAAACACAGGGUUGGUAAGGGAUGGGAACGGCAGGCUAAAUUGAACUCGGUCGAGGAGGAUUUAAUGAUAGCAAAGGAGCAAAUGUCAUUGAUCCAGAAAGAAAAGGCGGAAGCAAUUGAUGAACUGAAAGAAGCACAGAAAGCAGCUGAAGAAGCGAACAAAAAGCUUGGAGAGGCUUUGGUUGCACAAAAGCGGGCUGAAGAGAGCUUGAAGAUUGAGAAAUUCAGGACAGUUGAGUUGGAGCAGGCAGGAAUUGAAGAUGUUAAAAAAAAAGGACAUGAAGACUUUCUUUUCUUUCUUCUUUCCAUGAGAGUUGAGGGAAUAUGAAAGAUCAAAGAAGUAGGAAGAGUUGGAACUUCCAACUUGGAAGAGAGGGGGUUUUCUAAAGUUUAUUAUCGAGAAAACUAGUGUUUUAAUCCUGUAAGAAUAAACUCAUAAUUAAUUAAAUAGUUAGUGAAUUCUAAUCUAAUGUAAAAAAUAAGUAAUCUUAUUUUAUUUUUUUGUUCAUUAUAUACAAAAAAAUAUAACUUUAUAUAA
This is a long non-coding RNA of Gossypium raimondii (Peruvian cotton), 1050 nucleotides long. RefSeq lists it as uncharacterized. Lineage: Eukaryota; Viridiplantae; Streptophyta; Magnoliopsida; Malvales; Malvaceae. The transcript is spliced from 3 exons. The record is from RefSeq and is a predicted model, not a curated record.